RNAcentral lists this unclassified non-coding RNA (346 nucleotides) under soil metagenome. Its description in RNAcentral is "partial contains 5.8S ribosomal RNA, internal transcribed spacer 2, and large subunit ribosomal RNA". The stretch from base 1 to 120 matches the Rfam family "5.8S ribosomal RNA", at positions 35 to 154 of the family's 154-position model. The record is from RNAcentral.
GAUGAAGAACGCAGCGAAAUGCGAUACGUAAUGUGAAUUGCAGAAUUCAGUGAAUCAUCGAGUCUUUGAACGCACAUUGCGCCCCCUGGUAUUCCGGGGGGCAUGCCUGUCCGAGCGUCAUUGCUGCCCUCAAGCCCGGCUUGUGUGUUGGGUCUCGUCCCCCUUCCCGGGGGGACGGGCCCGAAAGGCAGCGGCGGCACCGCGUCCGGUCCUCGAGCGUAUGGGGCUUUGUCACCCGCUCUGGAGGCCCGGCCGGCGCUUGCCGAUCAACCAAAACUUUUUUCCAGGUUGACCUCGGAUCAGGUAGGGAUACCCGCUGAACUUAAGCAUAUCAAUAAGCGGAGGA